Tupaia belangeri chinensis (Chinese tree shrew) is the source of this 533-nucleotide long non-coding RNA. RefSeq lists it as uncharacterized. NCBI's taxonomy places the organism in Eukaryota, Metazoa, Chordata, Mammalia, Scandentia, Tupaiidae. The transcript is spliced from 3 exons. The record is from RefSeq and is a predicted model, not a curated record.
UAUGAAGAAAGAUAAUAGGAAUCGUAACGAAAGGACUAGAGGACACUGGAGCCAGCUUUGGAUCUUGCGUUUCGAAGACUGACCUACUUCCAGCUUCUGCUUGACCCAUUGCACAAGCCGUCAGACAUUUGUUGAGCAAGAUCCCUUUAAAAAUGAUCCCAGGCUGCUGGCUCAAGUGCUUAUGAAAGGGUCUCGGACAACUAGACCAGGCAAGCCCAAUGGGACCUGAACAGUGGAAGAAAUACUGUGUGAGAUGUCUGGGAAGAUGGACCUAAGAGCACAUCCCUGAAGAGUCUUGUGAUCCCAAGCAUGGCUCAGGAAGAAGAGUGAUUGUACGUGUCCUAUGGUAAAACCUUAAAAAAGUUCUCAUAGUAGAAGAUCGAAUGUUUUUCCCCUCAACAUCAGGAACAAAAGAAGGAUGUCCACAUUUAACACUUCUGUUGAAAGUGUUCUAGUAUAUUCAUCACACCACAGCUUCAAGCCAUUGCAGAAAAAUAUAAAAGGUACAAAUAUUAAAAUGUCUUUAUUUGGGA